AAGGAAGAGAAAUUAUGUGCAUAGGAUGCUAUAUAUCGUAUAUAACUUUCAUUUCAAAACAAUAAAGAGGGCCUUGGAAAAUAUUUGCUAUAAAAGGGAGAAGCAAAGUACCUAAUACAGUUAUAAACCGCUGCCCUAGCCAAAUGCUGGUUUGUUUUUACUAUAAACUCUGAACCUCUAUGUCAUAUUUUACCACUCAUGAGGCACUGCACAUAUUGUCUGGGUUGCAAAUUUUUAAUGUACUUAUAGUAUCUCCCCUAGACUGUAAGUUUCUUGAAGGUUCUGGAUUCUCCACAAGGCACAGCGCCUUGGGUAAAGUAAACACUCACUAAUUUGAUGAAUGAACAAAUUGUACUAUUAAAUUUGAUGCUUAAAUUCUUAGAGAAGCAGGUUUAGUGAAGAACAACAGAUAAUAGCUCCUCCACUUUCUUGGAGUUUAUCAGGCACUCUUAGGAAUACAGCAUCUGAAAUGUCAGGAGAAUGUCCACUCCUGGAUGCAAACGUUCAACUUAAUAGUUUUGACCUAUAGUUAUUUAAGCUUAAGAUACUCUAAUAAGAAUCCCAAGGAAUCUCAAUAUCUCCAUUUAUGUAACAAAAACUGUUAAAAUGUAUUAAGUACCUACUAUGAGCCAGAUGCUUUGUAUUAUCUUGAACAAAGAAAUUAUUUUGGUCCCUGUAUUGCCAAUAAGGGAACUGCAACUUAGUGAGGUUAAGAAUCUUUUCCAUGGCUAUACUGUUACCAUGGAAGGACAGGUAUUUGACUUCAGAUGGUUUUAUGCUGAACUAGUAGCCUCUUUCAACUGUGUUAUGCCACCUGGGGACCUAUUUAUGUCUUCAUUCAGUUUUUUAUUUCCUUGUUGCUGUUUUUGUUGCUGUUGUUGUUUUUAAGGGUACUUUACAGAUAAAAGGCAAGGUCUGCAGGGUUCCAUUUGCUGAGGCUAGAGAAGAAUAAAAUCAUUUCUAUAGUCACAGAAAAGGCAAAGAACCCCUCUAUGCACAGAAGUCCAGAGAUAAGAGGUGAGAGGUGGUAGAAAGAGGGUCAGUUCUAUCAUCAUCAAUAGACACAAAGGAACAAAAAAAUCAAGCUGGACUCUAGAGGAAGCAAGGAAUCUGAGCCUCUCAAUCUGGCCAUCCUGCAGAAAAUGGCCUGGAAUGGACGGGAAACAGAAAUAAUAACUUGGCAAAUGGUUUUGCAGACGGUUUUCCUUUAUUAAGGAAAAUGUUAAAUCAGAGCUAAGGUUGAAACACUUAUAAAUAAAGUGUUUACUAAGAGGAA
Molecule: long non-coding RNA, 1276 nt
Organism: Felis catus (domestic cat)
Lineage: Eukaryota; Metazoa; Chordata; Mammalia; Carnivora; Felidae
Exons: 2
Source: RefSeq, a predicted model, not a curated record